This 1442-nucleotide long non-coding RNA is filed under the name Neodiprion lecontei (redheaded pine sawfly). RNAcentral describes it as "uncharacterized LOC124293345". Lineage: Eukaryota; Metazoa; Arthropoda; Insecta; Hymenoptera; Diprionidae. The record is from RNAcentral.
GUCGUAAAUCGCAAAUUCAGAUUACCAUAUACAGGAUUAAACUGUUCGGGACAUAGCGAAGCACCGAUACUUUUUGGUUAAAAGAAAAGACUGUGUAACGUUAUUCGAUCGGUGUAUUCCUACGAAACUUACUAUGAAUAAUAUACGAACGGCACCGUGUGGCCCAUAAACGAACGGAGUUACUGAAAAAAAAUCAAUCUGCGACAUCGAAGGGGCAUAAUCCAUUGCAGCACUAUCGCACAUCGAUCUCUGGCAACAAACAAAAAAUUACACCACCCGCUAUGCAGUAAAUAAAACUGAAAGUGUUAAACGUGUGUCACCACCAUACAACCUGAGAUGCUACGAGAACCACUACACGUCAGGUGUGGAGUAGCCAGGAGGAGAGUUAAAGCAGAGACGUCCGAGUAACUUCUCCAUUACUCAGCAACGGUGGUGAGUUUGCACGUGUUAGGUUACGGGUAUUUCCCUGGAACUCCUUUAUCACGUGGCGUGGCGGUAACAAUUGUUACACAAAUCUUCUAAAUAUUAGCUGCAUGUAUAGGCUCAUUCGUGAUCGUAACGGUGCUUCACUUCAAUUUGGAUCAUUUUUUUCUGUUGCAGCUGACCUCUUUUACCAUGGUCACUCAAAGUUAGAAAUUUUGCACGUUAAUGAAAAUGGAAUGAGCAUCGCGACAGGUUACCAUCACUUACUCGACAUUCGCGAAAACAAAUUGUGUUUAGCUACAGAUAUAAUAAUCUAUCUUGUUCGAAUUUUCGAAUGACGUCGUUUAAGUAGUGGAUAAACCUGAGGUUUAAAUAUAUUCCAUGGAUUGAUUAAUCGAUAGCAUUUCAAAGUCUGGCAGAACGUAACUUAAUGAAAUUGCGUGAUAUAUCUUGAAUCAUUAUCAAUUUUUUAAUAUCCAGCAACUAUCAAACAACUGCAGGCUUAGCUCAUUUAGAAAAGUGCUGAUUAGUAUUCAGGAUGUUUUUAAUCCAUCUUACAAAAGGUUGAUGUAUCGAUAGUCAGCCAGCAAUCACUAAAAUAUUAUUUUCGCUGACUACCGUACAAAAACCUUUUGCUUCCCACAGGUAACCAAUGAAAAAGUAAGUCACAGUGACCACGGCGCAAAUGAGGAAGAAUGAUGUGUGUUGGAAAGAAUGGAGAGUCGUUUAGAGCGAAUAUAGGUAAUCGGGUAGGUAGGUGAUCGUUUUGGGAUCCGUCGCGGUGUUUAAUGUAGAUGUGCGUGUGAAUCUCUUUUCAAUAUUUUCGUUGGGUGGUUCCGUUGGGAAUUAGGCGAGGGUAGGAAAGUCGCGAUGUCCCGCGAUGUUACCAACUUUUGUAAUCCACAGCGUCAAAUGAUCACAGUGAUUUUCCUCCAGAAAUACGUAAGAGACUUGAGUAUAAGUCUCCGAACUAUUAAUGAGAUUUAAAAUUUUAACGGGGUUCAAUUUUCCUUUUUUUG